RNAcentral lists this ribosomal RNA (363 nucleotides) under uncultured eukaryote. RNAcentral's name for it is "partial 18S ribosomal RNA". It matches the Rfam family "Eukaryotic small subunit ribosomal RNA", at positions 592 to 976 of the family's 1831-position model. The record is from RNAcentral.
CAAAAGCGUAUAUUAAAGUUGUUGCAGUUAAAAAGCUCGUAGUUGAACCUUGGGCUUGGUUGGCCGGUCCAUCUUUUUGAUGCGUACUGGACCCAACCGAGCCUUUCCUUCUGGCUAGCCUUUUGGCGAACCAGGACUUUUACUUUGAAAAAAUUAGAGUGUUCAAAGCAGGCCUUUGCUCGAAUAUAUUAGCAUGGAAUAAUAGAAUAGGACGUUAUGGUUCUAUUUUGUUGGUUUCUAGGACCAUCGUAAUGAUUAAUAGGGACGGCCGGGGGUAUCAGUAUUCAGUUGUCAGAGGUGAAAUUCUUGGAUUUACUGAAGACUAACUACUGCGAAAGCAUUUACCAAGGACGUUUUCAUUAA